RNAcentral lists this small RNA (280 nucleotides) under Phascolarctos cinereus (koala). RNAcentral's name for it is "Metazoan signal recognition particle RNA (ENSPCIG00000037112.1)". Lineage: Eukaryota; Metazoa; Chordata; Mammalia; Diprotodontia; Phascolarctidae. The record is from RNAcentral.
GAUGGGCAAGGUGGUAUAUGCUUGUAAUCUCUGCUUUUGAAGAGUCUGAGGCUAGCAGAUGCCUUAAGCUCACAAUGUCUGAGCUGUAGGUGGCUGGCAUGAAUAGAUGUUCACACUAAGUGUUUCACCAAUAUAGCGAACCCUGGGAAGAGGAGUAGGGUAUACCAGGUUGCCUAAGGAGGGUUGAACUAGCCCAAGUCAGAAAGGCAGUAGGUCAAAACUCCUGUGAUAGUCACUUGUGGAAUUGGCCAUCAGAGUGAGAUAGGGAGACCCAGUCCCU